GGCGCUAUAGCCAAGUGGUCACGGCGACAGUUUCGAAUUGACCGACGAAAGCUGUUCCUCUUUGAGGGCGCAUGUUCGAAUCAUGCUGGCGUCG
RNAcentral lists this transfer RNA (94 nucleotides) under Agrocybe pediades. RNAcentral's name for it is "tRNA-Ser". It matches the Rfam family "tRNA". From Rfam's summary of the family: Transfer RNA (tRNA) molecules are approximately 80 nucleotides in length. Lineage: Eukaryota; Fungi; Basidiomycota; Agaricomycetes; Agaricales; Agrocybaceae. The record is from RNAcentral.